Molecule: ribosomal RNA, 253 nt
Filed under: uncultured bacterium
Lineage: Bacteria
Description: partial 16S ribosomal RNA
Rfam family: Bacterial small subunit ribosomal RNA
Source: RNAcentral
GACAGAGGUCGCAAGCGUUGUUCGGAUUUACUGGGCGUAAAGGGCGUGUAGGCGGAUGUGCAAGUCGGGGGUGAAAGGCCAGGGCUCAACCCGGGACGGUCUCCCGAAACUGCGCAUCUCGAGAAAGUCAGAGGCAGGUGGAAUUCCAGGGGUAGAGGUGAAAUUCGUAGAGAUCUGGAGGAACUCCGGCGGCGAAGGCGGCCUGCUGGGGCUUUUGUGACGCUGAGGCGCGAAAGCGUGGGGAGCAAACAGG